GGCAGAACUUGGAUUCUAUUGUGUCUGGAAUUGGUGGGUUCUUGUUCUUUCUGACUUCAAGAAUGAAGCCACAGACCCUCGAGGUGAAACCAGAGAGAGCUUGACCUCAAUGUGGGUACCGACGGUCUAAUUUCCUGAUGCUUGGAGGAGGACAUGUAAGAGGGACCGCUGGACUCUGCAGAGGGAGAAGGAUGCGCUGAGACAUUCCAUUCCAACUCUCUCACAAAGCUACACAUGAAUCCCUCAGAGCUAGGCAAGACCUGGUUGUGCAUUUCUUCCUCCUACCCAUCUCCUUGAAAUCAGCCCAGUCUAGAUUCAGAGACGUGUGCUGAAACACCCAGAAGUGCAGCUGCAAACCCGGAAGCGCCAGCACCAGAGGAGCCCAGGCCUUCAGCUGACUUCUCAGGCAUGCCCCUCCUGCAUGCCCUCCCUGCCACCCCAGCCCUCCCCCAACCACCUACACGCGGGACCAGCUCCCACUCCACGGAUUCCCAGGCCCCCUGCCCUGGCGGGGCAUGCUCCCAUCUUUCUGGUUUGUACCCUUCUCAGUGCUCUACAUCCCACUGGAGGAAACCACCUAGUCUCUGGCUUUUAACCACCUUCUGUCUCGUACUUCCAUGUAUCCUUGACUGCAAGCGAUCUCUUUUUUCACGGUUUUGAAUAAGUGUCCCAGCUAACUUAUGUUGGCUUUUAAGCACAGACUCUACAGGCCUCUGUGUUAUCCUUCCCUUUCACAGUAUCGUGAAGUGUAAGAGGUGGAAGGGGCCUUGCGUAGUUCCAUUUUACAAUGAGACACACCGAGGUCCUGAGAGGAAAUGCAAUCUGUCCUAGGUGGAGACGACUUUAGUUUGUACUGAAGACAGAGGACCAGUGGCCUGUGCCCUAACAGAGGCUGGCAAAGCUUGGCCUUUGUGUGGAUCCUGAAGCUCCAAUUCCCUGAUGCUUAAGGGAGUGCGUGCAGGAGGUACUGCUGCACCUAGCAGGGAGAAUAAUGUGCUGCACAGCUACUGGCCUGGACUCCAGCCUCCACCUUCUGGCUUCAGUGCUUAGCAUUUCUUCAUGAUUCUCUUCUCUUGGUCUCUCCACUAUUUGAGUCAAUCCCAGAAUCCCUUAGUCCAAGUCUGGUGCUGAUGCUACUGGUACCCAAUACAUUGGUGAAAGAAAACAGAGGCCUAUCACCAAACAGACUGAGGAUUUCUUGUUUGCUACAUAAUCAUGGCUUUGUUUUGUGCCAGCUGGGAUUCACAACUUCAAAAAUAUGCUUGUGCAGAUUUCAGCUCUGUCCUAUAUCCCUCCAACCGCUCUGUUUUUUCCUAUCAGUUCAGGCCCUCAAUAUGUCCUCUUUAGCUAUCUGCUCUAGCUUCAUAUGCUAGCCUGGUCACUCUUCCAAAGACCCAGCUCUGAGCAUGUCCCCUUCUCUAAAACCUUUAGUGGCUCCCCAUUAUCUACUGAUCUCCUUCAGCGGGUAUUAUCCCUCUCUGUACCAGCUGCAAAUGUCUUUCUAGCUAUGCCUUAUCUGGCAACUCCCUCCACUGGGCUUCUUAUACCCACCAUGCAGCCAGCCUGUCUCUGCUCCCUCCACACGCCUUAAGCUUCCCUGAUGCAUUGUGUUUGCCUAGACUGUCUCCUUGGCUUGGAAUGGCCUCCUCUCUCUCCCAAGCCUGCAGAAAUGCUACCGACUUCUCAGGAGCUAUCACAAAUGCUACCUUUCCAUGAAGCCUUCUUACUCAACCCACGUGGUGCCUCAGACGUCUUUGUUUUCUCUCUCUCAUCUCACUCACCUAACUCUGCUUUGCUUUACAACUAUUGAGAACCACGUCUCCACUGGGCUGUGAGUUGGAGGGCAGGGACUUGGCCUUUUCCAACUUGGUAUUUGCUGCUACCUGUAGGAGAGGCUGCAUGGUGAGCAUUUGUUAAACGAAUGAAUUCUUUACAGUGCUGUCAUUGCAAGGGUGUCUCUGGGUUGUCAAGGUUCAUAUGAAUAAUUAAGGCUAUAAUAAUCCAUCUCUGGAUUAUUAAAAUGAACCCAGUCUCUGAUAGCCUGCCUUCCACAGAGCCUUCCUCUAACAACUCUUUACCCCAGGCAGAAUUUCCUUCUGGGAGCUUGAGGCUUUGAUUACAGAAAAGCACCCUGGGAGGCCAGACCUAGAAACAUGUUUAUCAGUCUCUCACAUUUGCAGUUUGCCUGAAGACAGCUCUGAAAGUGGGUUGCGUGGGGGUUAAGAGUUGGAGGUAGGGGCCGGGAGACAGCCCCCCUCCAAACUAGCCUGAGUGCUUGCAGAUGUUAAAAGCAGCCAGCAUUUCAUAAGUGGGCAUGGCGUCCGUUCCCAUCAAGCCUUUCUUUCUCCUGGGCCCUGUGAGUCUGGAAUAACCAACCAGGCUGCCACAGAUUCCUGUGAUGCUUCCUGGAAGUGAAUGCUGCUGAUUCUCACAUUUUAGACAUUAUUCUAUUUUUAU
Molecule: long non-coding RNA, 2457 nt
Filed under: Homo sapiens (human)
Lineage: Eukaryota; Metazoa; Chordata; Mammalia; Primates; Hominidae
Description: HSALNT0317413
Source: RNAcentral